RNAcentral lists this long non-coding RNA (1036 nucleotides) under Mytilus galloprovincialis (Mediterranean mussel). The record is from RNAcentral. Lineage: Eukaryota; Metazoa; Mollusca; Bivalvia; Mytilida; Mytilidae.
GCUGUGUUUAUACAUUCGUGUGACGCACUGUUAAUAACUGUAUUGUGGUAUAAAUGGGAGGUGUCCGUUGUGUGAUUAACAUGUUGAAUUAAACUCUUAUAUUAUUUAUUUAUGUAUGUCCCUAUACUGAGUGUUCUUUCGUUUAGUAAUAAUAGAUUCAUGUCGCGUAAUGUUGUCAUUUUGGCGAUAUUUUAAAAUUGUCAUAUAAGUGGGAGGUUCGACAAACCAUAAAAUCAAGUUCAACCCACCAUUAUCUUCUUACAUUGUCAUGUACCAAGUCAAAAUUUGAUAGUUGCUAUCACAUACUCUAUUUCUUUGUAUAUUGUCGUUUAUGUUUGUAGCAGUCUGUUGUUUUCCUUCAAUAGUUGAUGUGUUUCUUCGGUUUUGCUUUGUGACACGGUUUUGUUUCAGCUUAAUCGAUUUAUUACUAUUGAACAGCGAUAUGCUACUGAUGCCUUUAUUUACAUCUGUGGUUGCACUCUUUGUUACAGGUGCCACAUACAUAUGUAUGACACAAAAAAACAAAGAAUUGAGCGUUGUUAUGAUAUUCAAAAUAUUUUUUGUCCUUUUUAAAAAUUGGUUGAAAUGUCUCAUCCCUUCUCAAAAUAUCUUCACAAACCUUUAAGACUGUUAGAUGUAUACUUAACAACAUGUACACUGUUAUGCUCGCGGUGCUAUUUUCUGCGAGUUGGAUAGAAAAGCACAUUGACGAACAUCAUUCUAGGAAAUAAGCUCAUCAUAGAUACCAGGAUUCAAAUUUUGUAUUAACGCAAGACGCGCGUUUUGUCUACAAAAGACUCAUUAGUGACGCUCGAAUUAAAAAAAGUUAAAAGGCCAAAUAAAGUACGAAGUUGAAGAGCAUUGAGGACCAAAAAUUCCUAAAAGUUUUUCAAAAUACAGCUAAGGUAAUCUAUUCCUGAGGUAGAAAAGCUUUAGUAUUUCAAAAAAAAAAAAAAAAAAUAUAACAGUUAAUUUAUAAUUAUGAACAUAUCAAUGAUAACUCAAGUCAACACCGAAGUGUUGACUACUGGGCUGG